GUUGGUGUGCAGUUGGCCUACGAGGCCCUGAUUCGAUUCCUGAGGACGCCUUCCAAUCAGGAAUCGAUUAAAGCAGAGCUCGGCUCCUGUGACCACCACUACAACUUCCUGGAUGUUUUUUUGAGCUGAUUUUCUUCAGCUACUUUAUAAAUGGCUCAAAACCUCAGCCAUUUAAGGGAGGUUUCUUGGAGCGCCUGCUUGCGCUCUUCAGCAUGUGGGACGUGGACGUGUGGGAGCCUGCAGCAGAGCUGUACUUCACAGUGCUUAUUGUAAGUGUUGAAUAUCUUCUGAUGCCACGAUCCACAAAUUCUCAGGAUUGUAUCUUAAACUCAGUGACACUAUGUUGGAUGUGUGUGGAAUUUGUCAAUAGGAUUACCUU
Hemibagrus wyckioides is the source of this 379-nucleotide long non-coding RNA. RefSeq lists it as uncharacterized. The record is from RefSeq and is a predicted model, not a curated record. The transcript is spliced from 3 exons. Lineage: Eukaryota; Metazoa; Chordata; Actinopteri; Siluriformes; Bagridae.